RNAcentral lists this ribosomal RNA (37 nucleotides) under Ceratocystis fimbriata. RNAcentral's name for it is "5.8S ribosomal RNA". The record is from RNAcentral. Lineage: Eukaryota; Fungi; Ascomycota; Sordariomycetes; Microascales; Ceratocystidaceae.
UGCUGAGUGGCAUAACUAUAAAAAAAAAAAANGUUAA